This 1553-nucleotide long non-coding RNA is filed under the name Cotesia glomerata. Its description in RNAcentral is "uncharacterized LOC123264063". Lineage: Eukaryota; Metazoa; Arthropoda; Insecta; Hymenoptera; Braconidae. The record is from RNAcentral.
AAAAUGUUUAUCUUUUAGUCACUAACAUAUUUCUAAGUUGUGAUUCACUCUUUUUAUCACCAGUGUGGUAUUAUCGUGAUAAAGCAUUCGCAACUCAGCAGUUGAGCCGUGAAGAUUUAAAUUAAUAUACAUUAAUAUUUUGCAUUCUUUAAGACAGUGUAAAGAAAUUCACAUCAAGGUGAAUAAUUCUGGUGGAAAUUCAACUUUGGUUGAUAAUUUCCGAGAAGUAAAUAUUGAAGAAAGCUUCAAGAUACUUGUCGAUAUUAUUGGCAAAGUACUAGAAUCCCAUACCUGGUAGACGCAGUAAGUUAUCUGUAAAAUCUAACUAUGGAUUGCUUUUCCUGGGUUCGUGGAGAUUUUAAGGCUGUGAAACAAAUCACUACUAGACCAGUUGUAGCGGUUGGUGUCUCUCAAGCAGUUCUUGCUGAACAACGUACCAGACAAGAAAGAGAACAACAAGAACGACGUGCUAAAGAAUAAUAAAUAUGUAGUAAGGAUGGUAGAGAAAUAAUAUGUAGUCAAUAAAAAUUAGUUUUGAGAAUAUAUACACCAGUCACCAGGGUUACAAAAUAUUUCAUUUGAAAAUUUUUCAUUCUUUCUUUAAAUAAAAAUUAACUGAGUCUUAUACCUCAUAUUUCCAUCCUAUAUUAGAGUAGGUUGAAUGUAUGUUUAUGAUAAUAUGAUACGUAAGGCUUAAUUAUUAUCAUCACUUUGAUAGUUAAAUAAAAAUUCAUUCGCUGAUCAAUUUUGCAAAACAAUGACAAGUUAGAGUAGUUUUUAAUUUUAUAUACUAUUUUAUUGGUAUAGAUAAUGGCAACAUUGUAAGUUAUCUGCUGAAAAUUGAAUAUUACUACAUAGUAAUGCUAAUACGUAGCAAAAACUGUUUAUCUUUUCGUCACCAACAUAUUUCUUAGUUGUGAUUCACUCUUUUUAUCACCAGUGUGGUAUUAUCGUGAUAAAGCAUUCGCAACUCAGCAGUUGAGCCGUGAAGAUUUAAAUUAAUAUACAUUAAUAUUUUGCAUUCUUUAAGACAGUGUAAAGAAAUUCACAUCAAGGUGAAUAAUUCUGGUGGAAAUUAAACUUUGGCUCAGUAAGUUAUCUGUGAAAUCCAACUAUGGAUUUCCUUUCCUGGGCAACCAAUUCCGUCCCGGUGGACGGUCAUGUCAAGGGAAUUGUCCAUUAUGCAGUUGGAGACACUAAGGGCGGGAACCAAGCUAUGUUCCAAGCCACCACAACUGCAGUAGUUGUCGGAGCUGGUGCUGCUGGAUCUCUUGCUGGUCCGGCAGGAACUAUCUAUUUUGGUUCAGUUGCUCAGGUAAUGUUCGACAGUCUUGGUACUAUAGUUUUGGAUGAGCCCCAAGGAAUAAAUUGGGCUUGUUCGAAAGUCGUGUAACAGAAGCCAUAGACGUGAGAGAAAAGAAAGGGAAGCACAGGAACAACGUGCUAGAGAAGAAAGGGAACAACAAAAAUGACGUGCUAGAGAAUAAUAAUAUGUAGUAGUGAUGAUAGAGAAAUAAGAUGUAAUCAAUAAACAUUAGUUUUGACAAUAUAUA